This 432-nucleotide ribosomal RNA is filed under the name uncultured bacterium. Its description in RNAcentral is "partial 16S ribosomal RNA". It matches the Rfam family "Bacterial small subunit ribosomal RNA", at positions 29 to 506 of the family's 1533-position model. The record is from RNAcentral.
AACGAACGCUGGCGGCAUGCCUAACACAUGCAAGUCGAACGAGACCUUCGGGUCUAGUGGCGCAAGGGUGCGUAACGCGUGGUAACCUGCCCUUAGGUUCGGAAUAACUCCCCGAAAGGGGUGCUAAUACCGGAUAAUGUCUUCGGACCAAAGAUUUAUCGCCUUUGGAUGGGCCCGCGUUGGAUUAGCUAGUUGGUAGGGUAAAAGCCUACCAAGGCGACGAUCCAUAGCUGGUCUGAGAGGAUGAUCAACCACACUGGGACUGAGACACGGCCCAGACUCCUGCGGGAGGCAGCAGGGGGGAAUAUUGGACAAUGGGCGAAAGCCUGAUCCAGCAAGGCCGCGUGAGUGAUGAAGGCCUUAGGGUUGUAAAGCUCUUUUACCCGGGAUGAUAAUGACAGUACCGGGAGAAUAGGCUCCGGCUAACUCCGU